GCGGAUAUAACUGAGGAAGGAAGCAAUGUAACUCUAGUGAUAUCGGGCCCAUCACAAGUCGUUUGUCAGCCACCUCCCCAGCUUUGGUUGGCAGCUUGCUGCUGUGAUUAUGGUAGCGUUAGAAGCUAGUGAAGACUCUCACAGAUGAUGUGUGUGAUGCUAGCUGUGAAUGCAAAGAACGGUCGAGAGGUGAUGUUUGGAAUACCGCUCUCCAGCGACACCUGAUUAUCCUCUCUCGCUUUUCAUCUGGCGAUGGUUGGUGCAUCGUUAUGAGGAGGGAGCGAGUUUGGAUAGAAUGAACUUCUCAUGUGUUUAUAGCAGUCUUUUAUAGUGUUGAGGUGGGAGCAAGGGAGAGGGAGGUGGACACUUUGACUAUAAACUGCGUAUCGCAUCAUCUUUUCUCAGCUUUUGAACUCUUAUCAUGGAAAGCAUUAAGAUUUGACCAAAUGGAGAGCGUAUGUUAGUCAACAAACUUGGAAUCAUGAAAUAUAAGAAUAAAUUGCGAAACUAAGAUUGAGAAACUUAAUGGACUUUUUGCAGCGUACAAACUCACUACAUAAUAGGAAACAAAUGAUUGUCUGUAAUAUCUUUGAUGUUUGAAAUUCCGAACACGAUAAUUUUGUGUGGAUUGUGAUCAAUCAAUCAAGAAGGAAGCAUAAUUUUUUUCCUAUGAACUUUAAUAUACAGUAUAUGUACAUACAUGUACACUGUACUUUAUACUAGUGAACAUACUGUGUAAAAAAACAAUCACUGCUUUACUCUCCUCCACAUCAUUCAAGAACUCAGUGAAACCUAACGGGUAGAGCUUUCACAAACAGUACUGUAAAUCGAUCUCUUCUCAGCUGCUUUUGCUGAUGGCGGAGAAGUGUGAGCAUCUCGACGUUGGAUCCAUCCACCAGAUGUUGAAGUACUUUGCGGUCUAUUCAUACCUGGAAUGGUGAUAGUCUUCUUCGGUGUCUCGUUGACGUCGACGCAAGCCGAGGCUCCUUCAGAUGUGAAUCUUUCUGCCGGUGGUGUUGGGAGCAUCCGAGGAGCUGUGCGGUCCGUCUGUGUCCUGGACGUCAUCGUCGAGAUGGACGAUAUAGAGAAAUGAGGUAAUGAUAAUUUGAUGCUUUACUUUCAUUUAUGCACUGGGCAAUAUUUAUAUGUGGGCUGACAUGUAAAAUGUAUAGGCCUACACUGAGCCAAGUGUUUCAUCUCCUUCUCGUCUGUUCGUGAAUGUGUACCCUUUGGAAAAUCAAAAGGCUUUGGAAGCUCCAGCCGUGGAUUUUACACACGCCCGUUUUUCUCUCCUGAUGUGAAGCAAGCGAGGCCGGUAUGUCGGCUGCAGCUUCCGGAAAAAUAUGGAACCGCCUCAAAGAUCGCGUCAACCGCAAUGGGAUCGUGCGACGCAUCAGCAUCAGACGGAGCAGCCGCGUGAAGAAGUAUUCCCUGGACGACGAGGAGCGAGGUCCCGAAGAUGGACCGAUUAGCGAAUGAUGGAUACAAUAGAAGACCAAUCAUUGUCACGCACAGUACCAGCAAGAUACCUUUACGCCAUUUGCGGCCAGCAUCACUGGAAAAGCGAUCAUCGAUCACUCCUACGCCGGGGUGGUUGGCACUAAUUGUGUACACAAAUCAAGGUUAGCAUAAUAUCAACACUGCCUGCGAUGGAGUCAUGGAGUCGUGUUUGUUGCUUUUGCAUACAUCGUCUUGGGCCAGGCUAGUGUCAGUGACAACAAAUAAACCAGCAUUUGUCACUGUAUCCUUUUUAAGAACACAUCAGUCUUGCGUCACAUUUGCCAGUGGGUAUUACUUGUUCAUGUCUGUGUGACGCUGUACUCUGGCUUUCAAAAGACACUGUAUCGUCACAAAAGUUAGGUACUUGGAAGUUCAGUUUUGAUGUGUAUUGCUAUUUUUGCUAUUCCUGGAAGUUGGCAUCGGUACAAUUGCUUCUGAUGGAGGCCAGUAUUUGCAGAAAGAUAGCUUAUUAUUUCAGGUAAUGAUAAAAACAGUGGUGUUGGAACUCUUUCGCAAUCAACAGAGAUGCCUGUACAUGAUUUGAGCAGAACCCAAACUGGAAUGCACAACAGUGGCCACAUCAUGGGCACACUUCAGUGGGAGUGCAGUCAGGUAAAUGCUCUGUAGGGCCUGUUGAGUCCGGCCGAUCCAACCUCACAGGGGGUGCCUCUUCGCAAACAGUCAAACACCUUUGCGGAGAGUUCAGUUCCAGGUGCAACGGUCAAAGGUAAGCAGUUCCCGAGCAAGGAUCCGAAUGCCGCAGGCUGCGAGGGAUGCUUUCAGGCAGUCCUGGUUUCACUUCAGCAGCUUCCCAAUGUGUGAUAACUAAUUAUUUUGUGCUAUUUUAACAUUGGUGAGCACUGUAAAUUAAUGCAAAAACAAUGCAAAGCUUAUUUUCUUUUUAUUCGUUUUAACCCUUUGACUUCUGAACCCUAAUAGUCCCUGUACAUAAAGAACCAACAAGAAUUCCAUUAUCAGUUGUCGAGGGCUAAGUUGUUAUUCACACGUUCAUGU
Molecule: long non-coding RNA, 2514 nt
Organism: Lytechinus variegatus (green sea urchin)
Lineage: Eukaryota; Metazoa; Echinodermata; Echinoidea; Temnopleuroida; Toxopneustidae
Exons: 5
Source: RefSeq, a predicted model, not a curated record